This 542-nucleotide ribosomal RNA is filed under the name uncultured eukaryote. RNAcentral describes it as "eukaryotic LSU rRNA". The stretch from base 160 to 312 matches the Rfam family "5.8S ribosomal RNA". The record is from RNAcentral.
ACUAGUGAUUUCCGUAGGUGAACCUGCGGAAGGAUCAUUCGCACAAAGAAUAUCUUUUACACCCGCCACGCACCACACAGUGCUUUCUGUUUUUAAUCAGGAUUUAUAUCCAACUCGUCGAUGUUGCGAUUCCAUUGCAAUGUAUGCGAUGUUAUCUAUCUCUUGCGACGACGAAUGCCUUGGCUCGAGGAUCGUUGAAGGACGCAGCGAACUGUGCUAAACAUCUCGAAUUGCAGAUUUCCGAGAAAGAAAAGGAUUCUGAACGCACUUUGCGAAUUGACCUCGUGUCAGUUCACUUGAUUGGCGGUGACCGCAAUAUGCAGUCGCUCGAACUCCGAAGUUUGAGUGGUGUGCACGUGUUGUUGCAGAUUGUUGCACCGACAUGUUCGUAGAAUUCGACGCGCCUCUCGUUUUCGAGCAGCAUUAUGACUUCGUGUUAUGAUGUUCGAAAGCAGGGACCGUUUCUUGUUUGGGUUUCCAAACGAUUCUUUCGCACGCUCACGACCAGUCAAGGGAUUACCCGCUGAAUUUAAGCAUAUCAA